AUGGUGGACAAAACAUGUUUUGUGUGUUUGUAUUAAAGCGUCCUCUGUAGCUGGAAGAUGCUGAAAUUUUGCUGUUUCUUCCUUUGUGCCACCACAGUGGAAUUUCUAGUGUGCUAGUUGUUGGUAACAUUUCCGUGAUUUUUCCCGAGGAGACCUAGACUCAAGCAGAAACAAGUGAUCGAGACGACUUGAAGCAGCAAAAUUUUGCUGAUUUAGGUCUCAUCUCUGCUCUCCCAGGAUCUACACAGACUCGUUCGUGGGAACUGUGUGCAGGCAAGCUGGUGAAGGGAACGUUACCAAUGGCUAUAAUACAUACGGGGUGCUUUUUUUUAUAUUCGACACUGAUUUUUUUAUUUAAUUAAAAACUAUUGGGGCUGAAUAAAUUAUAUUUUGCGGCUCUGUUAUAGGGUCAAAUGGACAUUCUGUAGGACAGCUUACGCAACUACUGGAUAACCAAUUAGCAAGAAUGCAUUAAUUAACUUAGAUAUUUUCUGGAAAAUGUGAGGUAGGAUUUGAGCCAACUAUUCAAAUCCAUUCUCCUUAUUAAACGCCUGGUGAAAGGGAACAUAUAUUGAAUAAAUUUUGGAAUUUUGCUAUGCAAAUGAGCUAAACCCAGAACUACACAGCUUGAGUGCAGAAAGAUGUGACAGGCAUUCAAAUAUAAAUCCAUUCAUAUCUCAAAGUAUGAUCACUUCUCAGGGUGUUUAACAUCUGGAUAACAACUGGCUCCAAUUCUGCUAUCUCGCAUUUCCCAGAAAACAUCUUAUUAACUAGUUAGUUAAUGAAUUUUAACUAGCCGUCAAGUAGGUGUAUGCGCUGUCCUAUUGGAUGUCCACCUGGCCGUAGAACCCACCUGCGAAAACGAAAUUUAUGCAGCUCUAAUAACUUUUUUAACAAAAAAAUCUGUGUCAUAUAAGGAAACACCUCGUAUAGAUUUUCCAUCUUCUUUCGUUUUUUUCUCCUUUCUCUGUGCAACAAUUUCAGGUUGGUUUGCAUAGCUUGACAUAGCGUCUUGUUCUGUGUUUGAACAGUGCACUGUGCCGUGAUGAAAAUUGCCAGAUUGAACUGUAUCGAGCAGAUGCACACGUCAUGGCGAGUGCAUGUGCUGAGAAUAUGCCAGUUUCUGUUCCCCUGUAGUAGCGUCAUUGGUAGGAAUGGUGCAUGUACAGGUGUUUGUGCUCAUUAUUAUUAUUAUUUUGUGCUCAUUGGUAUGAAGUAUUGUUAGGCUGUUUUACAAUGCACUACUAACUGGAUGACCAGGCAGUUUUCUGUGUACUUUGUAGGACAAAUUCCCUGUGUGAUAAUAUAUUUUUGUUUUCCUUUCAAAAUAUCUUAAAGCGUAUGUAAUGAAAACACACUUUUCCCUCUCUUGCUCUCAUCUUCACCUUGUCUUCAGAGGGCAGCACCUUUAUCGAGCCGCCUUCCUACCUUACUUGCACUGAAACACGAGGAAACGACCUGCAUGCAGACUGAGAAAACGAUUUGCCAUCUAGCGCUUACAGCUUUAUUUCUUUGAUGCAGCUACAAACAUUAUCCUAUAUGAGAACCAGUGUAUAUUUCUAUUUCAAUGUGUACACUUAGACAUACUUGUGUUUUUGGGUUUUGUGUGUUUUGAAAACCUGUUUAAGGGGAGGGGGAAGAAAAAAAACGGUUUCUCUUUCAGGAGCAGUGAAAUCGGGCUAUAUCGGGUUGAGAAGCAGAUUUUCGGGUGUCACAUUUAAAAAUAAAGUGCUUCUCACUUUUCAGAUGAACAGGAACAGCUUUGCAUGAUGCUUUGCAUCCUCCAGUGCCUGUAUUGGAGAGAAUUUUCCAUUUGGCAAAUUCAAUUAAAACCUGUUUUUACCCUCUUCCCCCAGUUUUGCAACAGCACGCACACGAAGUAAAAUUAGGGUGGGAGGGUUUCACCAUGUUUAACCCUAAAACAGAAGGUUCCUGUGGACAUCCCAUCCUUGCAGUCAUUCUGUGCCAGCUGGCAUAAGGCAGUAAUAGAUACCUAUUUGUCUCGCAGGUGGGACAGGAUCCUUUCCUCCAUAUGACGUCGGACCCAGGCCUCCACCGGUGUACAAGUGCAGGUACUGCCCCUACACAGGUCAGGUUCCCAGCAAGGUGAAGACGCACGAAAGACGCCACACGGGUGAAAGGCCAUUCCAGUGUGUACUGUGCCCCUAUUCUGCAUCCACCAAGUACAACUUGGUUGUCCACAUGCGGACACAUACGGGAGAAAAACCGUACAAGUGCAAGUACUGCAGCUACUCGACUGGAGUGCCCAGCACGCUGGUAGUGCACGAACGAAAGCACACCGGCGAGAAGCCCUACAAGUGUUGCCACUGCAGCUACAGCACAGGAAUACGCUCAUGCAUUGUUGUCCACGAGAGGACACAUUCGUUGCACAAACCAUAUCAGUGUCGUUUAUGCAGCUAUUCGGCUGGGAAAUCGUGCUCUCUCAAGCUGCACAUGAGGACCCACACAGGGGAGAAGCCUUAAUCGCUGCGGGUUGUGCGAUUUUUUCCGCAGCAGCCAAGCAUAUAUGCACCACAUGUGUACCAGACGCAAGAGCGAGACUGCUCAAAAGUAACGUCAAACUGAAGAUGUGUGCAAAAUGUGUUGUAUUCUCUGAAAUGUUGCACAUCCAGCUUGUUUUGUUUUGUUUUUCGCACCAGUUUAUAUAUUGUUGGCUUUAGCCGAUUUGCAGUGCAUUUGUAGGUUGCAUUAUGGUGCUUGUUUCACCAGAAAAAAAAAAAGUGGGGGCCAACUUGGUGAACAUCCCUUGUGACGCUAAUGCUCCUACCUGGAAUCUAUCAGUUAGCAAGUGCAGGUUCUGUGCCUACAUAGGCGACUGUCCAAGUAGGGUGAAGGUGCACGAACGAACUCACACAGGGGAGAGGCCAUUCCGGUGCAGAUUGUGUCCUUACUCUGCGGCCACCAACCACAACUUGAAGGUCCACCUGAGGACACAUACGGGGGAGAAACCGUACAAGUGCAAAUACUGCAACUUUUCCAGCGGGGUGUCCAGUGGUCUGGUAGUGCACGAAAGACAGCACACCGGCGUACAGCCCUUCCAGUGUCGCUUCUGCGACUACUACUCUGCAAAGUCUGGUUAUGUCAAGCUGCACGAGGGGACGCACAUGGGUGAAAAAAUGUUUCGCUGCGAGCUGUGCGAUUUUUCGGCUGCCAGAAAGCACUCUGUGAGACGUCACAUGUUGUUGAAGCACAUGGGUGCAAAUGCGGAGAAGUGAUGUGGUCCCUCAGCAGGUGGACAGAGCAUGUUUUGUGCAGUCUUAUUAAAGCGUACCUUGGUGGCGGAAGAUGUUGAA
Long non-coding RNA from Ornithodoros turicata, 3314 nucleotides. RefSeq lists it as uncharacterized. The transcript is spliced from 2 exons. NCBI's taxonomy places the organism in Eukaryota, Metazoa, Arthropoda, Arachnida, Ixodida, Argasidae. The record is from RefSeq and is a predicted model, not a curated record.